GGGGUAUAGUUCAGUGGUAGAUCAUUCGAUUGCAGAUCGAGAGGUCCCGGUUCAAACCUGGAUGUUCCUUUCUUCA
RNAcentral lists this transfer RNA (76 nucleotides) under Trichonephila inaurata madagascariensis. RNAcentral describes it as "tRNA-Cys". It matches the Rfam family "tRNA". From Rfam's summary of the family: Transfer RNA (tRNA) molecules are approximately 80 nucleotides in length. Their secondary structure includes four short double-helical elements and three loops (D, anti-codon, and T loops). Lineage: Eukaryota; Metazoa; Arthropoda; Arachnida; Araneae; Nephilidae. The record is from RNAcentral.